This is a long non-coding RNA of Cygnus olor (mute swan), 1325 nucleotides long. RefSeq lists it as uncharacterized. The transcript has 7 exons. NCBI's taxonomy places the organism in Eukaryota, Metazoa, Chordata, Aves, Anseriformes, Anatidae. The record is from RefSeq and is a predicted model, not a curated record.
UUACCUGUGAACAGGGAGUGUUGAGCUGCUGCCAAGAAAAAAAGAGAACUCUUAUUUGGAAGAAUUUCGUAGUCACUUUGUGCAGGCAGAAAUGAAGACUUAAAGGCUGUGGCAAAGGAGAGUAAGACCUGGAGACUGUCUUGAGCUCCGUGGAAAUGAUCAGACAGAAUCCUUCCCCAUCGCAGAGCACUUCUGGCAUGUCAUUGCUUUGCUCAAUGACUUGGAAAGCAGUUCAGCAGGCAGUACCAUUGAAAUGGCAGCUUCUGUUGAUGGAAGAUGACACAGGAGAAAAGGAAGAGAAAAGAAAGGAGCAGGCUGAGGAAGAGAAAUUAUUCACGAUUGAAGAUGGGGAGAAGAAACAAAAAGCACAUGCUGGAUGGUGGGGAGACAGUACUCAGACCAUGGCAUUCACUAGCUGGUGCAAGAACAGACCCAAACUGAAGUGCAUUGAGAUCUACUGACAAUAACCUUUUCAUCAAACAUGAGGAGCUGCAUGUCUUUUUGCUUCAAAUAGUCUUAUCCUUAGGCAAUGGUGACGUUAAUGAGGCCUGUGGACAUGACAGGAGAGAGGACACUGCAGAUUCUUCAGGUUUGUGAAUCUCAUCCCUCUGGCAAGCCCCUGAAAUAUUGGAUCCGAGAGGCAGUCCUAAUGCUUUACCAGGAGAAGAACAUUUGUCAGAAUAUCAAGACAGAAAUGCUUCUUCAAAUGGUGGUGCCUGUGUGGAUGUGCGGGACCUCAGCGUAAGCUCUCCUUUGUUGCCAGCCCUCUUGUACAUGGAUCAGCCAUGCACUGGCCCGUGAAGAGAGGAAGAAGCCAAGCCUUUGGUGUGUCUUACAUCUGCUCAGAAGAUACUCACGGCUUUUCCAAAGACCCUCAAGUACUGAAGAACUGCAGGCUUCCUGCGGAGCUGGUCCUGUGCUGUACCCCUACCUCUAAGUUUGGGCUGUGUCCCUUGUUUGGAGGAACACAGUCCUGCAGGCCAGGCUUGCAGGGGCUGGAGCAGAAGGCAAAUGCCUGCAGAUUGAGCAGCUCAGGGUGCUCCUCUCCAUACCAGGACAGUCCCUACACUGGAUUCAGGCUAAGACACAGUUGUCUGGGGCUCUUCGUAGGUGAAGGCCAGAUGGAGCCAUUCUGGAUGGCAAAUUGGAUUCCCUCAAGGAAAGCUGUGAGGUGUGAGGCACUUGGUUCCUGUUGCUUUUUAUCUGUGUUAUUUGGGCCCCUUUUUCUUUCAGGCUCUGGUGAAAAAUCCCACUGUCACAUCUCAGAAGGAGGUUACUGUGGCAACCUUAACUCUUGCUUUCUUGGCUGUGCAGCAGAGCUUGCG